CCUACGGGGGGCUGCAGUGGGGAAUCUUGCGCAAUGGGCGAAAGCCUGACGCAGCGACGCCGCGUGAGUGAUGAAGGCCUUCGGGUUGUAAAGCUCUGUGGGGAGGAAAGAAUAAGUGCAGGCUAAUCACUGCAUGAUGACGGUACCUCCUUAGCAAGCACCGGCUAACUCUGUGCCAGCAGCCGCGGUAAGACAGAGGGUGCAAACGUUGUUCGGAAUUACUGGGCGUAAAGCGUGUGUAGGCGGUGAGGUAAGUCGGAUGUGAAAGCCCAGGG
Molecule: ribosomal RNA, 275 nt
Filed under: uncultured bacterium
Lineage: Bacteria
Description: partial 16S ribosomal RNA
Rfam family: Bacterial small subunit ribosomal RNA
Source: RNAcentral